CAGGAGUAGCCGCCAGUCGCCCGUGGAGUGCGCAGGCGCUUGGCGGUUACCGGU
Monodelphis domestica (gray short-tailed opossum) is the source of this 54-nucleotide microRNA precursor. Lineage: Eukaryota; Metazoa; Chordata; Mammalia; Didelphimorphia; Didelphidae. The record is from Ensembl.